Molecule: ribosomal RNA, 253 nt
Filed under: uncultured bacterium
Lineage: Bacteria
Description: partial 16S ribosomal RNA
Rfam family: Bacterial small subunit ribosomal RNA
Source: RNAcentral
CACGUAGGGCGCGAGCGUUGUCCGGAAUUAUUGGGCGUAAAGAGCUCGUAGGCGGCCUGUUGCGUCCGCUGUGAAAGCCCGGGGCUUAACCCCGGGUCGGCAGUGGAUACGGGCAGGCUAGAGGUAGGUAGGGGAGAAUGGAAUUCCCGGUGUAGCGGUGAAAUGCGCAGAUAUCGGGAGGAACACCGGUGGCGAAAGCGGCGCACUGGACCACAACUGACGCUGAGGCGCGAAAGCUAGGGGAGCAAACAGG